This 721-nucleotide long non-coding RNA is filed under the name Cyanistes caeruleus (blue tit). Its description in RNAcentral is "lncRNA (ENSCCEG00000011131.1)". Lineage: Eukaryota; Metazoa; Chordata; Aves; Passeriformes; Paridae. The record is from RNAcentral.
CGGGCCCUCAGUGAGGGACAGAGAGAAGAACGUCAGCUCUUUAGAAGCAAAUUCACCGAGAAAAUGUGCAAAAAGAGGCGCUGGCACCGUUUGGAAAACCAAGCCCAGGUUUCGCUUGAUCUCAAUAGUAGGAGAAAGCAGAAGGAAGGGUUGAACCACUGCCUGGCUGAGGAUGAAGAGUGGAAGAAAAAUAAAACUGGAAAAGGUGGUGUCAACUGAAAAACAACAAAGAGAGCAGCCAUUUCAAGCAGCCUGCAAACACCAAAGGACUGAGCUACCCUGCCAGAAAGCUCUUCCUGUGGCAUCACGUGUAAGUUUUAUCCAUUAACGUACAGCUAGAUGUGGUGCUAGGAAGCCAUAAACAUCUAUGGGCAUCACAAGUGAAAAAGGGCCCCAAAUUGUUUCCCAGACAGCAUAGAGAUUUCUGGAAAACCUACUCCAAAUGUAACCCAGGUAGAGUGCCUGCUGCUGCACUGCUUCCCAGUGUAACCCUUACUGCUUUGAAGGGUGGAUAGGCUGAAAGACAGGGUAAAUAUGCUGCCCUGUUUAGGUCUUUGUAACUUUUGGAUGGAUUAAACCAUGCUCAGCACGUUCUGCCUCGCCCUGCCCCUCCUCCUGUAUUGACUUCCUUCAUGUGGGGUAGGAGAGCUUUUGUUCACCUGGGAGCCAUAACCCUGGCCCCCCCUGCCCUGCCUGCCUUGGAGCUCAGCCCAUGCACUGC